UUCUUAAACUCUUGAUAUCUGUAAUUGGCAUAUUGACUGUACUUGUCAUAAAAUAAACCUGACCUAAAUGCAGUUACCAAUAUAAAUGUGUUUUCUGUGAUAUAGGAGUGAAAAAUAAAAUCUCCUUUAGAGAUGACACAAAUAUGUAUUUUUGGUCCCUGUUUGUAGGCAGAUGGAAUUAUGUAUGGCAGAUCACUUACCAUGGUAACAUAGAUUAUGACAGCUGAGCCAUUGACUUUUUUAUACUUAAGAUCCAGUGGAAGCCACGGAAAAACUAUAAAAGAUCUCGCCUUCUUGAGGAAGGAACAUCCAGUAAUCCUGUUCUACCUGACAAGUGCUCUGCUCAGCUGGCAUCGAGCUCCUGUUCCGAAGAAAAUAGCCUCAAACCAGGUCUGAAAGGCGGUCUGGACCCACAGCUACACCAUCUGUGACCCCGAAGGUAAUCUCCACAGAGUUGCCUUGUUUGGGUUUACUUGAGUUUCAGAGU
This 487-nucleotide long non-coding RNA is filed under the name Taeniopygia guttata (zebra finch). RNAcentral's name for it is "lncRNA (ENSTGUG00000029228.1)". Lineage: Eukaryota; Metazoa; Chordata; Aves; Passeriformes; Estrildidae. The record is from RNAcentral.